RNAcentral lists this ribosomal RNA (274 nucleotides) under uncultured bacterium. Its description in RNAcentral is "partial 16S ribosomal RNA". It matches the Rfam family "Bacterial small subunit ribosomal RNA", at positions 157 to 447 of the family's 1533-position model. The record is from RNAcentral.
CGGCUGCUAAUACCCCAUAUGCCGCGAGGUGAAAUGAAUUUCGCCUGAGGAUGAGCUCGCGUCUGAUUAGCUAGUUGGUGUAGGUAAUGGCUCACCAAGGCAUCGAUCAGUAGCUGGUCUGAGAGGAUGAUCAGCCACACUGGGACUGAGACACGGCCCAGACUCCUACGGGAGGCAGCAGUGGGGAAUUUUCCGCAAUGGGCGAAAGCCUGACGGAGCAACGCCGCGUGAGGGAUGAAGGCCUCUGGGCUGUAAACCUCUUUUAUCAAGGAAG